GACGAACGCUGGCGGCGUGCUUAACACAUGCAAGACGAACGGUAAGGCCCUUCGGGGUACACGAGUGGCGAACGGGUGAGUAACACGCGGGUGAUCUGCCCUGCACUUCGGGAUAAGCCUGGGAAACUGGGCCUAAUACCGGAUAGGACCACUGCCUGCAUGGGUGGUGGUGGAAAGCUUUUGCGGUGUGGGAUGGGCCCGCGGCCUAUCAGCUUGUUGGUGGGGUGAUGGCCUACCAAGGCGACGACGGGUAGCCGGCCUGAGAGGGUGACCGGCCACACUGGGACUGAGAUACGGCCCAGACUCCUACGGGAGGCAGCAGUGGGGAAUAUUGCACAAUGGGCGCAAGCCUGAUGCAGCGACGCCGCGUGAGGGAUGACGGCCUUCGGGUUGUAAACCUCUUUCAGCACCGACGAAGCGCAAGUGACGGUAGGUGCAGAAGAAGGACCGGCCAACUACGUGCCAGCCGCCGCAGUAA
Molecule: ribosomal RNA, 478 nt
Filed under: uncultured bacterium
Lineage: Bacteria
Description: partial 16S ribosomal RNA
Rfam family: Bacterial small subunit ribosomal RNA
Source: RNAcentral